GACGAACGCUGGCGGCGUGCUUAACACAUGCAAGUCGAACGGAAAGGCCCUGCUUUUGUGGGGUGCUCGAGUGGCGAACGGGUGAGUAACACGUGAGUAACCUGCCCUUGACUUUGGGAUAACUUCAGGAAACUGGGGCUAAUACCGGAUAGGAGCUCCUGCUGCAUGGUGGUGGUUGGAAAGUUUCGGCUGUUGGGGAUGGACUCGCAGCUUAUCCGCUGGUUUAUGGGGUAGUGGCUUACCAAGGCUUUGACGGGUAGCCGGCCUGAGAGGGUGACCGGCCACAAUGGGACUGAGAUACGGCCCAGACUGCUACGGGAGGCAGCAGUGGGGAAUAUUGCACAAUGGGCGGAAGCCUGAUGCAGCAACGCCGCGUGCGGAAUGACGGCCUUCGGGUUGUAAACCGCUUUCGCCUGUGACGAAGCGUGAGUGACGGUAAUGGGUAAAGAAGCACCGGCUAACUACGUG
RNAcentral lists this ribosomal RNA (468 nucleotides) under uncultured bacterium. Its description in RNAcentral is "partial 16S ribosomal RNA". It matches the Rfam family "Bacterial small subunit ribosomal RNA", at positions 28 to 507 of the family's 1533-position model. The record is from RNAcentral.